This 429-nucleotide ribosomal RNA is filed under the name Pseudomonadota bacterium. Its description in RNAcentral is "Proteobacteria bacterium partial 16S ribosomal RNA". It matches the Rfam family "Bacterial small subunit ribosomal RNA", at positions 355 to 776 of the family's 1533-position model. Lineage: Bacteria; Pseudomonadati; Pseudomonadota. The record is from RNAcentral.
UGGGGAAUAUUGGACAAUGGGCGAAAGCCUGAUCCAGCCAUGCCGCGUGUGUGAAGAAGGUCUUCGGAUUGUAAAGCACUUUAAGUUGGGAGGAAGGGCAGUAAGCGAAUACCUUGCUGUUUUGACGUUACCGACAGAAUAAGCACCGGCUAACUCUGUGCCAGCAGCCGCGGUAAUACAGAGGGUGCAAGCGUUAAUCGGAAUUACUGGGCGUAAAGCGCGCGUAGGUGGUUCGUUAAGUUGAAUGUGAAAGCCCCGGGCUCAACCUGGGAACUGCAUCCAAAACUGGCGAGCUGGAGUAGGGCAGAGGGUGGUGGAAUUUCCUGUGUAGCGGUGAAAUGCGUAGAUAUAGGAAGGAACACCAGUGGCGAAGGCGACCACCUGGGCUCAUACUGACACUGAGGUGCGAAAGCGUGGGGAGCAAACAGG